This 1353-nucleotide long non-coding RNA is filed under the name Cricetulus griseus (Chinese hamster). RNAcentral describes it as "lncRNA (ENSCGRG00015041585.1)". Lineage: Eukaryota; Metazoa; Chordata; Mammalia; Rodentia; Cricetidae. The record is from RNAcentral.
CCAGAUCUCAUUCAAGGUGGUUGUGAGUCACCAUGUGGUUGCCAGGAAUUGAACUCAGGACCUCUGAAAGAGCAGUCAGCGCUCUUAACCUUUGAGCCAUCUCUCCAGCCCCCACAUUAAUUCCCUGUAUUAGUCUUGGCUUAGAUAUUUCAAUAUUAAUUCUACCAAUUCUGGAGCAUGGAAUAUUUUUUCAAAAUCUAGUAUCUUCUGUGAUUUUUCUUUUUCAUUAACUUGAAUUUUUGUUGUAGAAAUAUUUCACUUCUUUGGCUAGAUAUAUAUUUUGUAACAUUUUGUUGGUUGGUUGGUUGAGACAGGAUGUUUCUACAUUGUAAGUGUUGCAGCUCUGAAGGGAAAGGUAUCCUGACUGUCGGGAGCCAAACUGUAUCUAUAGCUGCAAAGGGAAAGAUAUCCUGACUGUCAGAAGACAGACUAUACCUAUAGCUGUGAAGGGAAGGUAUCCUGGAUACCUAUAACUUCAGAGAGAAGGUAUCCUGACUGUUGGGAGCCAGGCUACACCUAUAGCUGUGUUCCAGUGAGUGACGGUUUCCCCUCAGUGUGACCAGCUGCUUCUGGCUCCUGCUGCCUUGAGUUCCCUGUUGUGAUGGCCUGUACCAUGAACUGUGAGCUAAAAUAAUCUCUUUCUCCCUUAAGUUGCUUUUGUCUUUGUGGUGCCUGUGCCAUGAGCAAGUCUAAUGUAUUAGGCAAAAGCCUGGAGAUUUAAAUGAAAGACAAGACGUCCGGUCAUUUGUGCUAAGUGUGUGUGUGUGUGUGUGUGUGUGUGUGUGUGUGUGUGUGUGUGUGUGUGUGUGUCUUUAUUGCAGAGAGGGAGCAGCCUUAUAUACAGACUUACAGCACAGUGGAAAAACCCUAGAUGAAAGAGCUCAUGUUUUCCCAGGUGUGGUUGAUGCCAGUGGGGCAAGACCAGCACUGUAAGUCAGGACUAGAAAACAGGAUGCACCUGUGGUUAUUGGCUGACAAGUAACUCACAGAGACCCCAUGGGGGCUGGGACUCAACAAUCUGGGUAUUUUUUUUUUUUACCGUGGUAACAGAAAAAUGAACAGCUCCGAUUUGAACCACCUCAUUGGCCCCUCAUAUUUCCACCUGUGAUGUGACACUGGCCUUGAUUUCUCUGUAAGUGUGACAGUCCCUGAUGACUUCUUCCAGUGGAAGUCAUUCCUUCCCAUCAGUGUCUUGUGGCCACUUUCAUCAGUGAUCAGAGCUAUUGCUUCUGGAUCCCUUGUACCUGUGGAAUCAUGUCUUCUUUUUUUCAUAUACUUUUUUAUUAAUUUAUUUUUUACAUUCCAAUCCCAGUUCCCCCUCCCUCCUAUCAUCCUGCUCCCUCCACUCCCCCC